This 76-nucleotide transfer RNA is filed under the name Actinomadura sp. DC4. RNAcentral's name for it is "tRNA-Leu". It matches the Rfam family "tRNA". Rfam says of the family: Transfer RNA (tRNA) molecules are approximately 80 nucleotides in length. Their secondary structure includes four short double-helical elements and three loops (D, anti-codon, and T loops). Further hydrogen bonds mediate the characteristic L-shaped molecular structure. tRNAs have two regions of fundamental functional importance: the anti-codon, which is responsible for specific mRNA codon recognition, and the 3' end, to which the tRNAs corresponding amino acid is attached (by aminoacyl-tRNA synthetases). tRNAs cope with the degeneracy of the genetic code in two manners: having more than one tRNA (with a specific anti-codon) for a particular amino acid; and 'wobble' base-pairing, i.e. permitting non-standard base-pairing at the 3rd anti-codon position. Lineage: Bacteria; Bacillati; Actinomycetota; Actinomycetes; Streptosporangiales; Thermomonosporaceae. The record is from RNAcentral.
ACCCCGGUAGCCCAAUUGGUAGCGAGGCAACGGACUUAAAAUCCGUCAGGUGUGGGUUCGAGUCCCACCCGGGGUA